This 76-nucleotide transfer RNA is filed under the name Aridibacter sp. RNAcentral describes it as "tRNA-Val". It matches the Rfam family "tRNA". From Rfam's summary of the family: Transfer RNA (tRNA) molecules are approximately 80 nucleotides in length. Their secondary structure includes four short double-helical elements and three loops (D, anti-codon, and T loops). Further hydrogen bonds mediate the characteristic L-shaped molecular structure. tRNAs have two regions of fundamental functional importance: the anti-codon, which is responsible for specific mRNA codon recognition, and the 3' end, to which the tRNAs corresponding amino acid is attached (by aminoacyl-tRNA synthetases). tRNAs cope with the degeneracy of the genetic code in two manners: having more than one tRNA (with a specific anti-codon) for a particular amino acid; and 'wobble' base-pairing, i.e. permitting non-standard base-pairing at the 3rd anti-codon position. The record is from RNAcentral. RNAcentral also lists the same sequence under 4 other names. Lineage: Bacteria; Pseudomonadati; Acidobacteriota; Blastocatellia; Blastocatellales; Blastocatellaceae.
GGGCAUAUAUGUCAAUUGGUAGACAGCCUCCCUUACAAGGAGGAAGUUGGAGGUUCGAGUCCUUCUAUGCCCACCA